AUUAUAAGACUUCACUUCAUGAUUUUCAACAAAUAAAUAAAUGAUAGUAUAUGUGUAACGAGUGUGAGCAGUUGGCGUUUUUUGAAUAAGCUCUUUUUGGAACGAACUGUACGCGAGGCGAAGCUUCACCGAUAGCGAGUUCCAAAAGCAGCAAAUCAUCACACAAAUUAUAAUGUUACAAUCGCGAUCAUCAGAUUACGUAAUUCCCUGUAGUUUUCUGGCAGCAGCAGUGUCAAAGAUCGCAUAAAUUCUCUCAACAGAGAGGCAAAACGCCUGAAAGCCAAAGAGUGCUUAGAAUUAGGUACAUUUAUUAAAAAGGAAUUCAAAAAAUUCGGCGAAAUUGUAUGCGUUGAUGAAACUUCUCCAUAUCGACGAAGCAAUAUUUUUUAAGUUUGUCUUUUGCGGAUGCAAAAGCAAAUAUUUGGAAAAAAAAUUGACCACACUAUGGAUCUUACUCGGAUACAAGAAAAAGUUAACAUUCAGUCUGGAAAUCAAGGGAAAGUCAAAUCAAAUUUUUGUAGCAACGUUAAAAUUCAAUAAAAUUUUGAAAUACUUGUACAUCAAGUUCAUGAAUAAUC
This is a long non-coding RNA of Leptopilina boulardi, 578 nucleotides long. RefSeq lists it as uncharacterized. The record is from RefSeq and is a predicted model, not a curated record. Lineage: Eukaryota; Metazoa; Arthropoda; Insecta; Hymenoptera; Figitidae. The transcript is spliced from 3 exons.